AGUAAAGUUUUAUCCUUGCUUAUUCUCUUAUUUUCAGAUUAAAGGUACAUGUAAGAUGUGUCGCGACUAAGAGCUUGACCUGCUAAAUGUAGGUAAACUAUCAAGGUGUAAGAGUGCUAUUAAUAAUUAAAUUCUCAGUACCUAGUGCUAAUUAUAAACGAAAGUUAGAAUUGGUAAUUUUGAUUUGAAUAUCCGGCUAAAAUUUGUGCCAGCAGCCGCGGUUAUACUAAGGGGUAAAUUAAGAGAUUGUUGGUUAAAAAUGGUUAAGUAGGGGCUAAAAGUUAAAAAACUUGUUGUAAUAAAGGGUGAAAUCAGAAUUUUAGUUAACAAGAUAUUUAGUUAUAAGCUGAUACCGAAGCUGUUAAGGUAGGGGUAUGGACCAGGAUUAGAUACCCUGUUACUCCUUGCUUGAAAUAAUAUAUACCUGGGUACUAAACAGUUAUUGCCUUGAAACUCAAAGGAUUUGGCGGUAACCCAGUCUAUUUAGAGGAACCUGUCCUGUAAUCGAUAAACCACGCAGAAUCUUGCCUUGCCUUGUAGAUACAGUUUGUAUACCGUCAUUAUUAGGUAACUUCAAUAGAAGUUAGUUGCUGUAAUAAGUUUUUCUUAAUAUAUUAGAUCAAGGUGCAGCCUAUGGCCAGGUAGAGAUGGGUUACAAUAAAAUGUCUUUAAACGGAUUAAAGGAGUAUGCUUCUUUAUUAAGGUGGAUUUAAGAGUAGAGAGGUUUUAAUAUGUUCUCUCGAUUUUAGCUCUAGGUUAUGUACACAUCGCCCGUCGCUCUCGUUAGUUAAAGCGAGAUAAGUCGUAACAUAGUAGGUGUACUGGAAAGUGCACCUAGAAAUU
RNAcentral lists this non-coding RNA (843 nucleotides) under Benthonectes filipes. RNAcentral's name for it is "12S ribosomal RNA". It matches the Rfam family "Bacterial small subunit ribosomal RNA". The record is from RNAcentral. Lineage: Eukaryota; Metazoa; Arthropoda; Malacostraca; Decapoda; Benthesicymidae.